CACAAACGAUUGCACACAUUAGUUAGAGAGCGAUAGAGAAAGACGAGGAGGAAGCGGCGCGCGGGAAACAACGACAUCAUUCGGGGGUCAGUGCACUUUUUUAUUCCCUAAUAAACACGAAAAGAGACAUGGACAACGGAGCUCGCAUUGCCGAGGAUGUGGAGAAGUUUCUUCGCGCUGCGCGCUCGCGCGACACAGCAGAUUGCAGCCGAAUGCUGAAGGAAAAGCCAGAGCUCGUGAACUGCGUCGAGGCUGGCGGCUACGCUGCCCUCCACUUUGCCGCCUUCAACGGUGAUGCCGAGAUGGUUCGCCUUCUACUAGAGUACAAGGCGGAUCUGAACAUCGAGAACAUGGACGGUAACACGCCUCUUGUCAUGGGUGUAAAGGGGCGACAGCUGGAGUGCAUUCGCAUGCUGGCAAACGCGGGUGCCGAUGUAAACAAGGAGUCCCACUCAGGAAGCACGGCUGCGCACUACGCCGCAUCUAUGGGAUACCUGGACUGCCUCCGCCUUCUGGUGGAGCUGGGGGCCAAGACGAUCUACGGGGAGAGCGAAGCGGGCACUCUGCUUCAUUGGGCGUGCCACUCCGGUGACGUCAACUGUAUCGGUACCGUCAUUUACGAGUUUAAAGUGCCAAUCAACGCAGUGGACAAGCACGGCGGCACGGCUCUGUUCACGGCCAUUUUCAUGAAGAAACUGGAGGCUGUGGAGUUCCUAGUUGAGCAUGGCGCGGCGGUCAACAUCGCCAUUGCCAACGACGGCAGCACGCCGCUGCACAUUGCUGUAGAGCAUGCAGAGUCGGAGUGUGUCCGCCUGCUGUGCAGCUGCGGCGCCGACGCUAGCGCCAAGAACGGAGAGGGCAAGACGCCGCUGGACUUGGCGAAGGCCGCCAACAACACUAAUGCGGCCAAGGAGCUCGAGAAGGCGCAGGUACCACAGGAGAAGCGGGCUGAUGAGGCAGCGCGGUUCAAGAACCAGGGCAACAAGGUAUUCCAGCAGGGCGAGAACGUGAAGGCUGCAAAGUUCUACACCCUGUCCAUUCACCUCGACCCAACCAACCACGUCUACUACAGCAACCGCGCCGCCUGCUACUUCAACCAGCACUUCUACACAGGAGCUUACUGGGAUGCUCUGCGCUGUAUCGCACUCGACCCGUCGUGGCCAAAGGGCUUCCUGCGCAAAGCCGCCACUGAGCUUGCGCUGAAGAAAUACAGCGACGCACUCACCACCGCCUCACAGGGCCUGAAACUCGACCCCACGAACAAGGACCUCCAGCAAGUGAAGGACGAGGCGUUCAAGAUGCUGAAAAAGUGAUUAAGAUAGCCGUCUCGAAAGGAGAACGCCCAGGCUGUUCGCUGCCCCUCUCCCGGUAAGCGGCAGCGAGGAGAUGGGGUAGGAGCGAGGAAGGGCUUGCCUGGCGUUGAGCAGAUAAGCCGCCAUUAAAGCAGCUUUUGUAAGACCGUUGUGGUGCACAGUGCACGUGGGAAUCGAGAUUGAAAUAUGAAGGAUGUGUGGCGCUGUCUCUCCCUCUUUGCAGGUGUGAAUGCGUGGGUGCUUGCUAACGUACUUCUUAGCAGAUGCUACGGGCGCCCUCACGUCGCUGAAAACAAUGGAAUGCGGAGCAGAAGCACCGAGCGUAGAUCAGCUCCAACCUCUCCUUCGCUGCAGGAGGGCACAUGGGUACGCUUAAGCGUCUUCACGGUCACCGCUGCUUUCUGCGUGUCCGCGCCCAUUUCUUCUGUCUAGCGCUAACUUUGAUCUUUAGCAGCACACCUACGAGAAAGCGAGGCCUCUCAUGGCGCUGGGGGGGUAGCGCCGUUGCUCUUGCAUCUCCUGCGAUGCCUUCUCUCCUUACCGUGGCACUUGAGCUGCCUUCCAUUGCCAUGUGGAAAAUGCACUUGCGCGAGUGGUGGUGUGAUGCACCUGCGAGCCAAGGCCUGUGUGGCAGCGGCUUCUACUGCAUCGUACCGCUUCCGUGUCGUCCUGCUGUACACCCUCCCUUUCCCCUUUUCUGCUGACACCUCGCGUCGUGUGCCUGUGCAUCAG
This 2045-nucleotide unclassified non-coding RNA is filed under the name Leishmania donovani. RNAcentral describes it as "gene:LdHU3.24.0150(CDS-product:ankyrin/TPR_repeat _protein)". The record is from RNAcentral. Lineage: Eukaryota; Euglenozoa; Kinetoplastea; Trypanosomatida; Trypanosomatidae.